UACGGGGGGGGCAAGCGUUGUUCGGAAUUACUGGGCGUAAAGGGCUCGUAGGCGGCCAACUAAGUCAGACGUGAAAUCCCCAGGCUCAACCUGGGAACUGCGUCUGAUACUGGAUGGCUUGAAUCCGGGAGAGGGAUGCAGAAUUCCAGGUGUAGCGGUGAAAUGCGUAGAUAUCUGGAGGAACACCGGUGGCGAAGGCGGCAUCCUGGACCGACACUGACACUGAGGAGCGAAAGCCAGGGGAGCAAACGGG
This 253-nucleotide ribosomal RNA is filed under the name uncultured bacterium. Its description in RNAcentral is "partial 16S ribosomal RNA". It matches the Rfam family "Bacterial small subunit ribosomal RNA", at positions 524 to 776 of the family's 1533-position model. The record is from RNAcentral.